Molecule: unclassified non-coding RNA, 343 nt
Filed under: soil metagenome
Description: partial contains 5.8S ribosomal RNA, internal transcribed spacer 2, and large subunit ribosomal RNA
Rfam family: 5.8S ribosomal RNA (bases 1-120)
Source: RNAcentral
GAUGAAGAACGUAGCGAAAUGCGAUAAGUAAUGUGAAUUGCAGAAUUCAGUGAAUCAUCGAAUCUUUGAACGCACAUUGCGCCCGCUAGUAUUCUGGCGGGCAUGCCUGUCCGAGCGUCAUUUCAACCCUCAAGCCCCCGGGCUUGGUGUUGGGGAUCGGCGAGCCUCCGCGCCCGCCGUCCCCUAAAUCUAGUGGCGGUCUCGCUGUAGCUUCCUCUGCGUAGUAGCACACCUCGCACUGGGAAACAGCGCGGCCACGCCGUCAAACCCCCAACUUCUGAACGUUUCACCUCGGAUCAGGUAGGAAUACCCGCUGAACUUAAGCAUAUCAAUAAGCGGAGGA